GGGCAGUAAGCUCGUAGUUGGAUUUGUGGCUGUCACGGGCGGCCUAUCACUUAGUGUUAGUGCUUGCCUGUGUCGCCAUCCUUGGGUGGAGCCCGUGUGGCAUUAGGUUGUCGUGCGGGGGAUGCCCAUCGUUUACUGUGAGAAAAUUAGAGUGUUCAAAGCAGGCUUAUGCCGUUGAAUAUGUUAGCAUGGAAUAAUAAGAUAGGACCUCGGUACUAUUUUGUUGGUUUGCGCACCGAGGUAAUGAUUAAUAGGGACAGUUGGGGGUAUUCGUAUUCCAUUGUCAGAGGUGAAAUUCUUGGAUUUCUGGAAGACGAACUACUGCGAAAGCAUUUACCAAGGAUGUUUUCAUUAAUCAAGAACGAAAGUUAGGGGAUCGAAGAUGAUUAGAUACAUUUCGGUAGUCACAUUUGGCAAGGAUGUUUUCAUUGAUCAAGAACGAAAGUUAGGGGAUCGAAGACGAUUAGAUACCAUCGUAGUCA
This 482-nucleotide ribosomal RNA is filed under the name Psammodictyon panduriforme var. continuum. RNAcentral's name for it is "SSU rRNA". It matches the Rfam family "Eukaryotic small subunit ribosomal RNA", at positions 624 to 1026 of the family's 1831-position model. Lineage: Eukaryota; Bacillariophyta; Bacillariophyceae; Bacillariales; Bacillariaceae. The record is from RNAcentral.